This is a long non-coding RNA of Gambusia affinis (western mosquitofish), 2072 nucleotides long. RefSeq lists it as uncharacterized. The record is from RefSeq and is a predicted model, not a curated record. The transcript has 2 exons. Lineage: Eukaryota; Metazoa; Chordata; Actinopteri; Cyprinodontiformes; Poeciliidae.
CAAACACAAAAGAAUCACAGGCGUUGCAUAAACUGGUAAUUUGUGGCGCCCGCUAGUGGUCACACACAGUCACCAUUUGAGGAGUUUUAAACGUUUUUCAAUGCGCUGUCUGUGAAUGUUAUAUGGAAGCAAUUUCCAUGAAAAAAAAAAAGCCCAACACAAAGUCAUAAUUACGAAAUUUAAAGUCAUAAUUUUAAGAUUCAAAAUAACAACUUGAACUUUGAAAGUCAAAUUUUGAGACUGAAAGACAUAAAAAGCACUUCUUCAUUGAUUUUAUAUAACUUAGCUUAUAAUAACCUGCACUGGAGAGCAGAGGUGCGUAGUAAUUGGUUACAUUUACUCCGCUACACGUAAUUGAUGAACUUUUUACAGUAAUACACAGUAAUUUUUUACUUCUGCUUGAGUAAUAUUGUUAUUAUUAGUAUCACUAAGAUUUCUGAACACUUUUUCUACCUUCUGUUAGCAAAUUUUACUGAUGGAAAAAACACUGAACCACAAACACCACAAACAGGCACACAGUUUAUGUUGAAGUGAGACAUCUUGUUUAUUUUGUUGUUCUAAUUUUAUUUUCAGUUUUGCCAUGUGCUGACAUGAAUAUAUAGAAUUUUCACUGGGAUAUUUUUGACCCUGUUCAAACACAGAAACACGACCUCCUGCAAGUGUUUGUGUCAUAAAAUUAUUAUUAUUAUUACAUUUUUCUUCUGCCUGAAUAGGGUUAGGGUUAGUAUUUUGUAAAAAUGUUAGGGUUUAGUAUUUAAAAUUCCAAAAUUUUUACAUUAUUUUAUAUUUUUAUCUGUCUAACAUAUUUUUGAAAGAUUUAUUCAGGUGUUAUGGUCAGUUUUUCAGCACUACCUACUUGUGUGAAAAUAUGUAGAAGUAGUGUUACUCUUUCCUGAGUAAAAUCUUUGGUUCCUGGCCGUGGAAGACAUUACUUGGGUCUGCGCAGGCGCAAAGAAACGAGUUAGCACGAAUAGAAAGAACAUCAGUUUUCAGUGGCUCGAACCGGUACCAAAGCGAUUCAGAUCGGAAAACGGGUCGUUCUGGUCGUCUAUGUGUUCGGAUGGUCUUUUGUAAUACUUUAACCUGGUCGCUGUGCCGUUAUGUCGGAACAGUGAACAGCCGAGGCGCUGCUAGCUCACUCCGACCCCCAGCUGAGGACGUCUCCUCUAAUGAGCACAUCUUCUGGAACAUUCAUCAGCUCCAGAGGAAGGCAGAUAUUGGUGUGCCCUUUGCCCUCAUCACUGGGCCGUGUGUGGGUGUUGACCAGUCAACAUCUCACCUUCAUGGUGAGCAGUCUCUGGGCGAGGUAGACCUCGGGGUCCUGGAUGCACUGAACUGUUCCAGCACAAACACAGAACCAUGAGGAGUUGAUCAAUCAGCCCAACAAUCAGCAAACCUCUAACCCGGGACUCACCUAAAACUCUCAGGCCGAGCCGGAAGUCUCCUGAGAAGCGUUUCUCCACCAGCUGAUCCACCGUCUGCCCCGUCUCCAGCUCCAGCUCCAUCAACACUGCCAGACGUUCACAGUGAGCAUCUCAGCUCCACCUGCAGGCUGCAGCCAGUCACACACUCACCUUUAUCCAGGUGAUCCGAGUCUCUGGACGUCAAGAUGCUGAUCCAGGGUCCGGCUUCUGCUUUCUUCUCACUGAGAGACGCAGCGAGAGCCUGGGAACGUAGCAGAGCAGAGCUGGAGCUCAGGCAGAUGGAGUGGAAAUGAUCCGGACUGCAUGAGGAGCAGAAAAUACCUGAACGUCUCUCUGGACAGAGCUUGCAGUAACGGCUUUCUGUUGGAACAAAAUGGAGGACAAAACAACACGCUUCACCUUCCUACUGGGACUAAACCAGUUUUAUGCACAUUAUUCAGAUUAAUUCCAUCCAAAGAUGGGCUGUAAAUGUCUUUGCCCAAAAAUCCAGAAAACAAUUUGCUCUAAAUUAACCAAAUUUAUAUUUUUUCCUGCAACAGAAUCUUGGAGGGAAUAUAAAGAGUUUCCUGCAUCUCAUCUUCUUUUCUUUGUCAUCAGAGUUAAAUAAUAUUCAGUAGGAAUGUAAACUAUUAAAAGACUUAUGAUUAA